This 108-nucleotide small nuclear RNA is filed under the name Pongo abelii (Sumatran orangutan). Lineage: Eukaryota; Metazoa; Chordata; Mammalia; Primates; Hominidae. The record is from RNAcentral.
GCACUUGCUUUGGCAGCUCAUAUGCUAACACUGGAACAAUACAGGGAAGAUCAGCAAGGCCCCUGCAAGAGAAUGACACAUAAAUUCAUAGAGAUUCCAUAUUUCUUU